RNAcentral lists this long non-coding RNA (302 nucleotides) under Bos taurus (domestic cattle). Its description in RNAcentral is "long non-coding RNA NONBTAT009314". The record is from RNAcentral. Lineage: Eukaryota; Metazoa; Chordata; Mammalia; Artiodactyla; Bovidae.
CUUAAGUCUCUUUAGUGUCUUCAUCUAAUGCUUGAAUGUUGGUAAUCUCCUAUACUCGUUAUUGACAGUUGUCUUUUCUCACUCUGCGUGUCCUCGAAUACUCCUGUAUGCCAGGCCUCUUCCGGAUCUGUUAACUGUUGGGCAGCUUAACUUGGAUGGCCCACAAGCAGCUCAGUCUCAUUUACUAAUAUUAAUUUAUCAUUGACCCUAAUGUUGGUACAUGGGCACCAUACUCAUCCUGAUUCUGGGCAACAUUAUUCAAACCAGAAUCUUUUCAGCUUGCCCUGAUCCAUCUUCUGAUU